Molecule: small nucleolar RNA, 131 nt
Filed under: Rhinolophus ferrumequinum (greater horseshoe bat)
Lineage: Eukaryota; Metazoa; Chordata; Mammalia; Chiroptera; Rhinolophidae
Description: Small nucleolar RNA SNORA8 (ENSRFEG00010015144.1)
Rfam family: Small nucleolar RNA SNORA8
About the family: ACA8 is a member of the H/ACA class of snoRNA that guide the sites of modification of uridines to pseudouridines.
Source: Rfam by way of RNAcentral
UGCACUGCACGGUAUCUGCAGUUUCUUCCUGCUGGGUGUUCAAAGGACAGUGCAAUAUAAAUUCAGUAUGUGGCAUCAUUGAUUUUCUUGUCUUUGUGCACGUUAAACCUGGUAUUUUUAUUGGUACAGUA